CAGAGGAAAGAAACUUCAAGAGUUCGUGGUCUAUGAAAAUAAAAGUCCACUGGUUUCGCGAGCAAUUUCCAUCUAAUCAACUGGAGACUGACAGCAUGUAGAGAUGUGUGGCACUUAACAAAAGAACCUGUCUAAUGAACACUACAGCUGAAAAAUGCAGAAUGAAUUCAAUAGGCAUUUUAUAAUGCAGAUCAGAUAUGAAGCAAGUAUAAUGUAAAUGUAAUAUGCCUUCACUGUAAAAAAAAGAAAACAUUAAGUAUAAAAAAUUGGUAAUUAUAUAGAGAAUAUAGAGUUCAAGAUCCACUGGGGCAGAGACCAAUGUGACUGACUGAAAGUUUGUAAUAUGUGUGCACUGUAAAUAAAUAAAUGACCAAUGUUUUAAAACUGCAUUAAA
Molecule: long non-coding RNA, 394 nt
Organism: Pseudophryne corroboree (corroboree frog)
Lineage: Eukaryota; Metazoa; Chordata; Amphibia; Anura; Myobatrachidae
Exons: 2
Source: RefSeq, a predicted model, not a curated record